Molecule: ribosomal RNA, 468 nt
Filed under: uncultured bacterium
Lineage: Bacteria
Description: partial 16S ribosomal RNA
Rfam family: Bacterial small subunit ribosomal RNA
Source: RNAcentral
GACGAACGCUGGCGGCGUGCUUAACACAUGCAAGUCGAACGGAAAGGCCCUGCUUUUGUGGGGUGCUCGAGUGGCGAACGGGUGAGUAACACGUGAGUAACCUGCCCUUGACUUUGGGAUAACUUCAGGAAACUGGGGCUAAUACCGGAUAGGAGCUCCUGCUGCAUGGUGGGGGUUGGAAAGAUUCGGCGGUUGGGGCUGGACUCGCGGCUUAUCCGCUUGUUGGUGGGGUAGUGGCUUACCAAGGCUUUGACGGGUAGCCGGCCUGAGAGGGGGACCGGCCACAUUGGGACUAAGAUACGGCGCAGACUCCUACGGGAGGCAGCAGUGGAGAAUAUUGCACAAUGGGCGGAAGCCUGAUGCAGCAACGCCGCGUGCGUGAUGACGGCCUUCGGGUUGUAAACCGCUUUCGCCUGUGACGAAGCGUGAGUGACGGUAAUGGGUAAAGAAGCACCGGCUAACUACGUG